Molecule: non-coding RNA, 888 nt
Organism: Oryzias latipes (Japanese medaka)
Lineage: Eukaryota; Metazoa; Chordata; Actinopteri; Beloniformes; Adrianichthyidae
Source: RefSeq, a predicted model, not a curated record
AAUCAAUUUAACAAUUUUCAGUCAUCAAACUCUGUAGUACAUUUCUUUCCUUAACCUGUUCAGAAUACUGCAAUCUCUUGGACUGAGAAAGUAGUAUUUUAUUUGCUGUUAUUUUUCAGUUUAAAAUGCAAAAUAAAAAUAUUUUAGCAUCAAAAAUUCUAUAGUAUGACAUCUUCUGACUGGAGAAAAGGCACUUUUUCUUACACAUGAAAAAAUGUACAGGAUGCAAUAAUGUCUGACUGAUCUUCCAUGUUUCCUGACAUUUAGGAAAGAGGAAUAAAAGGCUCCGAUGGAUCAUGUCUGUGUGGAUCAGUUGCAGCUUGCAGCAUUACAGCAGUCACACCUGUGUGCUCCUGGGGGUGCAGCUAUAGGUGUACCUGUGUUAAGAGCAGGGGGUCCUCCAGGUGUGACGCUGUACACCUGCAGAAACUCUUGUGGUCGACUCCCUCCGACAAUGUUGAAGCCGAAACCUCGAGGCCCUUUGGAGAGCCGAGUGUGGAUGGAGUAACCACGCAGCAGGCUGGGCUGUUCUGUGAAAUCUGGGACUGUCAGGAGAAAGAAAGUGUGCGGUGGGAGAUUGUUGAUAACAGAGAAGUUUCCAGACUGAAUAUGACUCACAAUAACAGAAGCAUCACCAGCAGGCUGACUUACGCUUGGAGCAGGACGCCGUCUCUUUGCUCUGCACACGAGGAUCCACCCAGCUUUUCAUCUUUGUCACGUGACUGACACAUUGAGACUCGGCAUCAUUAUAUGCAUCAAUUGCUGCCAUUGUACAUUCACCCUCUGUGCUCAAAAUGAUCUUUAUGGAGUAAACACUGGGAAACCAAAUGUUAUGUCAAUCUUUGCAGCCUGUGAGAAACACAGGAAAUAAACAAAGAAGUAACCUGA